GGCGACGUAGCCAAGCGGUUAGGCAGAGGUCUGCAAAACCUUUCAGAUCGGUUCGACUCCGAUCGUCGCCUCCA
RNAcentral lists this transfer RNA (74 nucleotides) under Deltaproteobacteria bacterium. RNAcentral's name for it is "tRNA-Cys". It matches the Rfam family "tRNA". From Rfam's summary of the family: Transfer RNA (tRNA) molecules are approximately 80 nucleotides in length. Their secondary structure includes four short double-helical elements and three loops (D, anti-codon, and T loops). Further hydrogen bonds mediate the characteristic L-shaped molecular structure. tRNAs have two regions of fundamental functional importance: the anti-codon, which is responsible for specific mRNA codon recognition, and the 3' end, to which the tRNAs corresponding amino acid is attached (by aminoacyl-tRNA synthetases). tRNAs cope with the degeneracy of the genetic code in two manners: having more than one tRNA (with a specific anti-codon) for a particular amino acid; and 'wobble' base-pairing, i.e. permitting non-standard base-pairing at the 3rd anti-codon position. The record is from RNAcentral. Lineage: Bacteria; Pseudomonadati; Myxococcota; Myxococcia.